RNAcentral lists this transfer-messenger RNA (339 nucleotides) under Anaerotalea alkaliphila. Its description in RNAcentral is "Clostridiales bacterium F-3ap transfer-messenger RNA". It matches the Rfam family "transfer-messenger RNA". From Rfam's summary of the family: Bacterial tmRNA, also known as 10Sa RNA or SsrA, is named for its dual tRNA and mRNA-like properties. Its role is to liberate the mRNA from a stalled ribosome. The record is from RNAcentral. Lineage: Bacteria; Bacillati; Bacillota; Clostridia; Eubacteriales.
GGGGGUGUACUGGUUUCGACGGGGAUCGAUGAAGAGAAGGAAGCCAUCCGCAGUUUACGGGGCUGCGUCAACAAACUGUAAAACAAUUUAAACGCAGAAGAUAAUUUAGCGUUCGCUGCCUAACGGCAGCUGUCUUGCCCUGACCACCCGCUGUCAGGGGCCAAGGCAUCGACGAUGCGGGGACCUAUCGUUUCAAAGCUUUGAGAUUCGAUAAGAUUUAAUGAAGCUACUGAAGGCCGGAGCCUGUCGUUGGGCGCCGGUUGGAGGGAAUGUCAAAACAGCGACUGUGAUGGGAGAUGCUUUCUUGGAUGGGUUUUCGGACAGGGGUUCGAUUCGCAG